Molecule: long non-coding RNA, 651 nt
Filed under: Androctonus crassicauda
Lineage: Eukaryota; Metazoa; Arthropoda; Arachnida; Scorpiones; Buthidae
Source: RNAcentral
CAUUUACAAUCUUUCUAAUAAUAGAGAAGUCGCUGCAGUCUUUUUCCUGUUCAUUUCCUAUGAAUAACUGUUACUGCGCUGCGAUUUAAAAUGAAAAGUGAAUCUAGAGCAUUGCAUAAAAUGCUGGGAAACAUCAAUACAUUUUCUUUCAAAAAACAGUGUCGCAAUAAUUUCAAUCAAGAACAUGGCAGUCAAUAUAAGUCUUAUCAGAAUCCCGAACAAUUAAAACCAAAUUGGAAAGUAGAAACGGAUGUACAGACAGGACUGUCAUACUUCACUCCCUCCGAUUCCAGUAUUAUCGUAGACUCUUCUAAAUUAUCUCGUAAACAUUCUCUAGUUUCUCGUUGAAUGGUGUAAUCGAUAGCUUUCAGGAUCCGCAAUGCGUGAGGCUUCUUCAAAUGUAUAAAAAAACUAUUGAACAAAUGUGACUUAAAGUUAUAUACAGUAAUAUUUUAUAUAAGUGUCGCUAUAAUAAAUAAUUUUUCGUACAAAUUUAAAAUUUUUCAGACUACAAAAUUAAUUUAAAGUAUUAUCACUUGUACUCUUAAAAGUUGAUAAAUGAAUUUAUUAUUAAAUAAAAUUGUCUUAAGAUUAAAUAUACAAUAGUUCAUUUCAUACAAUUCAAAUGUAAUAUAUUUAAUUACAGUUACA